AUUGAACGCUGGCGGCAUGCUUUACACAUGCAAGUCGAACGGCAGCGCGGGCUUCGGCCUGGCGGCGAGUGGCGAACGGGUGAGUAAUGCAUCGGAACGUGCCCAGUAGUGGGGGAUAGCCCGGCGAAAGCCGGAUUAAUACCGCAUACGACCUGAGGGUGAAGGCGGGGGACCGAAAGGCCUUGCGCUAUUGGAGCGGCCGAUGUCGGAUUAGCUAGUUGGUGGGGUAAAGGCUUACCAAGGCGACGAUCCGUAGCUGGUCUGAGAGGACGACCAGCCACACUGGGACUGAGACACGGCCCAGACUCCUACGGGAGGCAGCAGUGGGGAAUUUUGGACAAUGGGGGCAACCCUGAUCCAGCCAUGCCGCGUGCGGGAAGAAGGCCUUCGGGUUGUAAACCGCUUUUGUUCGGGAAGAAAUCCUCUGGGCUAAUACCCCGGGGGGAUGACGGUACCGGAAGAAUAAGCACCGGCUAACUACGUG
This 484-nucleotide ribosomal RNA is filed under the name uncultured bacterium. RNAcentral describes it as "partial 16S ribosomal RNA". It matches the Rfam family "Bacterial small subunit ribosomal RNA", at positions 28 to 507 of the family's 1533-position model. The record is from RNAcentral.